This 1385-nucleotide ribosomal RNA is filed under the name uncultured bacterium. RNAcentral's name for it is "bacterial SSU rRNA". It matches the Rfam family "Bacterial small subunit ribosomal RNA", at positions 27 to 1403 of the family's 1533-position model. The record is from RNAcentral.
GAUUGAACGCUGGCGGUAUGCUUAACACAUGCAAGUCGAACGGAAACGAUACUAGCUUGCUAGUAGGCGUCGAGUGGCGGACGGGUGAGUAACGCGUAGGAAUCUGCCUGAUAGUGGGGGAUAGCCCGAAGAAAUUCGGAUUAAUACCGCAUAAUCUAUUCGUAGUAAAGUGGGGGACUUUCGAGCCUCACGCUAUCAGAUGAGCCUGCGUAAGAUUAGCUUGUUGGUAGGGUAAAAGCCUACCAAGGCGACGAUCUUUAGCUGGUCUGAGAGGAUGAUCAGCCACAUCGGGACUGAGACACGGCCCGAACUCCUACGGGAGGCAGCAGUGGGGAAUAUUGGACAAUGGGGGCAACCCUGAUCCAGCAAUACCGCGUGUGUGAAGAAGGCCUGAGGGUUGUAAAGCACUUUCAAUUGUGAAGAAAAGUUAGCGGUUAAUAACCGUUAGCCUUGACGUUAACUUUAGAAGAAGCACCGGCUAACUCCGUGCCAGCAGCCGCGGUAAUACGGAGGGUGCAAGCGUUAAUCGGAAUUACUGGGCGUAAAGCGUGCGUAGGCGGUUUAUUAAGUCAGAUGUGAAAGCCCCGGGCUUAACCUGGGAACUGCAUUUGAAACUGGUCAACUAGAGUAUGGUAGAGGAAAGUGGAAUUUCUGGUGUAGCGGUGAAAUGCGUAGAUAUCAGAAGGAACAUCAAUGGCGAAGGCAGCUUUCUGGACCAAUACUGACGCUGAGGUACGAAAGCGUGGGUAGCAAACAGGAUUAGAUACCCUGGUAGUCCACGCCGUAAACGAUGAUAACUAGCCGUUGGGGGGAUUUACCCUUUAGUGGCGAAGCUAACGCGUUAAGUUAUCCGCCUGGGGAGUACGGCCGCAAGGUUAAAACUCAAAGGAAUUGACGGGGACCCGCACAAGCGGUGGAGCAUGUGGUUUAAUUCGAUGCAACGCGAAGAACCUUACCUGGUCUUGACAUCCUGCGAACUUUCUAGAAAUAGAUUGGUGCCUUCGGGAACGCAGUGACAGGUGCUGCAUGGCUGUCGUCAGCUCGUGUCGUGAGAUGUUGGGUUAAGUCCCGUAACGAGCGCAACCCCUAUCCUUAUUUGCCAGCACAUCAUGGUGGGAACUAUAAGGAGACUGCCGGUGAUAAACCGGAGGAAGGCGGGGACGACGUCAAGUCAUCAUGGCCCUUACGACCAGGGCUACACACGUGCUACAAUGGGAAGGACAAAGAGCCGCGAAGCCGCGAGGUGUAGCUAAUCUCAUAAACCUUUUCGUAGUCCGGAUUGGAGUCUGCAACUCGACUCCAUGAAGUCGGAAUCGCUAGUAAUCGUAGAUCAGAAUGCUACGGUGAAUACGUUCCCGGGUCUUGUACACACCGCCCGUCAAGGG